AGUGAACGCUGGCGGUAGGCCUAACACAUGCAAGUCGAACGGCAGCACAGUAAGAGCUUGCUCUUACGGGUGGCGAGUGGCGGACGGGUGAGGAAUACAUCGGAAUCUACUUUUUCGUGGGGGAUAACGUAGGGAAACUUACGCUAAUACCGCAUACGACCUACGGGUGAAAGCAGGGGAUCUUCGGACCUUGCGCGAUUGAAUGAGCCGAUGUCGGAUUAGCUAGUUGGCGGGGUAAAGGCCCACCAAGGCGACGAUCCGUAGCUGGUCUGAGAGGAUGAUCAGCCACACUGGAACUGAGACACGGUCCAGACUCCUACGGGAGGCAGCAGUGGGGAAUAUUGGACAAUGGGCGCAAGCCUGAUCCAGCCAUACCGCGUGGGUGAAGAAGGCCUCCGGGUUGUAAAGCCCUUUUGUUGGGAAAGAAAAGCAGCAGGUGAAUACCCCGCUGUUCUGACGGUACCCAAAGAAUAAGCACCGGCUAACUUCGUG
This 492-nucleotide ribosomal RNA is filed under the name uncultured bacterium. Its description in RNAcentral is "partial 16S ribosomal RNA". It matches the Rfam family "Bacterial small subunit ribosomal RNA", at positions 29 to 507 of the family's 1533-position model. The record is from RNAcentral.